This is a long non-coding RNA of Etheostoma spectabile (orangethroat darter), 438 nucleotides long. RefSeq lists it as uncharacterized. The record is from RefSeq and is a predicted model, not a curated record. The transcript has 3 exons. NCBI's taxonomy places the organism in Eukaryota, Metazoa, Chordata, Actinopteri, Perciformes, Percidae.
CCUAGUUUUUUAUAGAUUAGAUUCAACUUGUCACAAGUACAGAGCAACGCAGUGUAGUUAGUGUCUAUCCAGAAGUGAUGAAAUGCAUAUUAAAUAACAUGUGCUACAGUAUCAAUAAAUAACAUGUGCUACAGAGUGCAAGGUAUGAAUGAUAAGUGUCUAUUACUACAGGUAUGUACAGUAUAUGGACAGGCUGGAUAAUUAACCUGGUGUUUUAGUGAAAAGGUUUGAGUCUAAGUAGGACUUGUGCCACCUGAUAAAGGUUCCACAAUAAUUUGAAGCCAUAUUAUGUUAUUCUUUUUUUUGGAAUGCAGUGAUUGACAUUUGUAAUCAUACAAAGUAAUGACUUUCACCGUUUCCAGGUUUUCCUCCAGUUUUGCAUCAGAUUUUUCUUUGAAAAUGAUCACUUAGUUGUAGCAUAUGACCACCAAUCUACCU